Molecule: ribosomal RNA, 234 nt
Filed under: uncultured Lactobacillus sp.
Lineage: Bacteria; Bacillati; Bacillota; Bacilli; Lactobacillales; Lactobacillaceae
Description: partial 16S ribosomal RNA
Rfam family: Bacterial small subunit ribosomal RNA
Source: RNAcentral
CCCAANGAGAUCGGGAUAACACCUGGAAACAGAUGCUAAUACCGGAUAACAACAGAUGAUGCCUAUCAACUGUUUAAAAGAUGGUUCUGCUAUCACUCUUGGAUGGACCUGCGGUGCAUUAGCUAGUUGGUAGGGUAACGGCCUACCAAGGCGAUGAUGCAUAGCCGAGUUGAGAGACUGAUCGGCCACAUUGGGACUGAGACACGGCCCAAACUCCUACGGGAGGCAGCAGGC